GAGGGUAUAGCUCAGUGGUAGUGUAUGCCUAGCAUGCACAAGGUUCUGGGUUCAAUUCCCAGUACUUCG
RNAcentral lists this transfer RNA (69 nucleotides) under Camelus bactrianus (Bactrian camel). It matches the Rfam family "tRNA". Rfam says of the family: Transfer RNA (tRNA) molecules are approximately 80 nucleotides in length. Their secondary structure includes four short double-helical elements and three loops (D, anti-codon, and T loops). Lineage: Eukaryota; Metazoa; Chordata; Mammalia; Artiodactyla; Camelidae. RNAcentral also lists the same sequence under 1 other name. The record is from Rfam by way of RNAcentral.